Molecule: unclassified non-coding RNA, 101 nt
Organism: Anser brachyrhynchus (Pink-footed goose)
Lineage: Eukaryota; Metazoa; Chordata; Aves; Anseriformes; Anatidae
Source: Ensembl
CGCGGUGUAGCCCCAAUUCGGACAAUCUCUGCAGCCGGUCACAAGCCCCAAAGAGAAGCGGUGGCGCCCGCCAAAUAGGAGGAGAGCUCCGCCAGCCGUGC